GUAGGUGGCAAGCGUUGUCCGGAAUUAUUGGGCGUAAAGCGCGCGCAGGCGGUCCUUUAAGUCUGAUGUGAAAGCCCACGGCUCAACCGUGGAGGGUCAUUGGAAACUGGGGGACUUGAGUGCAGAAGAGGAGAGUGGAAUUCCACGUGUAGCGGUGAAAUGCGUAGAGAUGUGGAGGAACACCAGUGGCGAAGGCGACUCUCUGGUCUGUAACUGACGCUGAGGCGCGAAAGCGUGGGGGGAGCGAACAGGAUUAGAUACCCUGGUAGUCCACGCCGUAAACGAUGAGUGCUAAGUGUUAGAGGGCUUCCGCCCUUUAGUGCUGCAGCUAACGCAUUAAGCACUCCGCCUGGGGAGUACGGUCGCAAGACUG
RNAcentral lists this ribosomal RNA (373 nucleotides) under uncultured organism. Its description in RNAcentral is "partial 16S ribosomal RNA". It matches the Rfam family "Bacterial small subunit ribosomal RNA", at positions 527 to 896 of the family's 1533-position model. The record is from RNAcentral.